This 380-nucleotide unclassified non-coding RNA is filed under the name Hevea brasiliensis (rubber tree). Lineage: Eukaryota; Viridiplantae; Streptophyta; Magnoliopsida; Malpighiales; Euphorbiaceae. The record is from RNAcentral.
UUCCAUUUUGUUACCUUGCGACCUUCAUCAAUUAAGAGUGGAUGAUCGACGAGAUAAACAUAGACAUCUUUGAGUGAUUGGAAAUUGGGGAUUGGAGUCUCUGAUUUGGCGAUGAUGGACAGAUAAUCGGACGGUAGGAACUUUGCCCAAACAGAAUCAGAAUCGGCGGUUAAAUGGAGAAACUUAGAGAUUAAGGAAAAGCGACAAACGUCCGACGGGCUUGUAAAGGUGAAGAUCGUGACGAUACAUUCCUCCGGUAGCAUGGAUAGACGAUCAUUACUUUCAUUUUCGAUUUUCUUUUUCUCCAUUGAGUGUGUUUUGCUGUCACAUAUCAUGCUAUUUAUAGUAAAUAUUUGUUUUUCCUUACCGAUUAAGUUUUG